AAAUGCCGCACGGUGGGCUGAAAAUCGGCCUCCAUAGAAAUAGAAACCGAAGUCUUAAAUAUGAACUUUUUUUUAUUGGAAUAGCUUUUGUUAGGUUUUAUUAUGUCCCAAAAUUAAUCUUAGCUAAUUUGGUUGGAAAAAUAAUUUAUUAUAAUUUUUUUUCAAAAUCUUUGUAUGGCGCGUAUCAGAAAAAACGAGUUUUCUCCGAAAAUAAAAAGUUAACCGUAAUAUCCUGACAGAUGAUUUUAAAACCAAUUAUUCUUGAUUUUUCCACAUAAUUAGAAUUUUCCUACGGGGUGCACUUUUUUUUUUAAAAAUCGAUAUAUAUUUUUUAAUUUUUUUUAUUUUAUUUUUUAUUAUAAUACGGUUAUACUCGUUAUUUUGACUACAAAAAAUGAAUUUGAGUUUGAUCGAACCAAUAACUUACGCGUAGUGAAUUUUUGUUCUAAGCAAAUGUAUGGAGCGUACGAGUAAAACGGAUUUUUUUUCAAAAAUUAAAGGUAUACCGUAAUAUCCUUGCAGAUGAUUUAAGUACCAAUUAUUAAUGAUAUUUUGACAUAACGCGAACUUUUCUACCGUAUGCACUUAUUUAACAAAAAAUAAAAAACUUAUUUUUUCAUGCUGAAAUAGCUUUUUCUCAUUUUUUUAAUCAAAUAAAUAAUAAACAUACAAGAGUUACAAGUAGAAAAUUGAAAAUAAAACCAUUACAUCCUUUACAUUAUUACCCUUGUAUCCUCUUUAUUACAUUAUCUUUGUACUUAAUGAAACAAUAUUUAACAAAUUUGACAUAUUGACAACUGAUGAGUCUAAAAUUAAUGAUCUAACAUAUUAAAAACAUCCCUGUUCGAAUCUUGUCUCGUUUUUUUUUUGUGAGUGAUGCUCUCUGAACAUUCUGAAGUCUUUGUUGCGUGCCUCGGAUGCUUCUUCAGAGAGAUGACCAAUCGGUACAAUAUCAUUUUGUGCAAUGAUAUCUGUGCCAUGGAUCAGCAAUUUAUGCACUGUUGGGGGCAUCUUAUACCAACUGUAAAAUUUAAUAUAGUCGUCCGCUGUAUCUUUAAAAUAGGCUUUAAACUUUUCAGUGUCAAUUACUUCACCUGAUGUGACAGCUUGCAGAAUUACAGCAAAUCUCCGAAUCAGUUGUUUGUCCAGUCCAGUGAUAUUAGCUGUUUUUUCGGGAUCUUCGAAAAAUUUUCGUGCUGUGUUUCCAUCAUUCGUUGUUCCAGAACCUUGUUUUACUACAUCGACUAAAAGAUUUAGUUCGUCUUUGAAGCGAUCUUGAAUAAUCUUCUUCCGUAGUUCCAUCUUCUGUUUAAGGACCCUCUUUUCAGUUGCAUAAAAUUCUUUAAAGUCCAAUCGAUAUGCUAUAUGAAGAAGGCAUUCCAUGGUAUUGAUCCGGGCAUGUAAAGAUGAUAGUCCAAAUUCAUGUAAGGUAGUAUCAGGCACUGUUUUUUUCGAAACUUUGUCUAUAUUGUUCAUUUCAUUAGGCUUAGCUAAACAUAAAACGCAUGUUGCACUUGACUUAGCCUGUGAAAGAUAUGUGCAGAUUUUGCCAUCUACCAUCGUCAUCUUCAGCUUAUGUGUCACUUUGUUGUUCCUAUGUAUGUUCUGUGGGCACUAGGUCUUUGAUUUCAUCGUCCAUUUUUUUCUUUUGAGCUAGAACAAAGUUUUUGUUCUCUUUAGUAAAUGUAAAUUGCUUUGGACGACAAUAUGAAGCAGAACAUGGUUUUGGAUUUGUCCAAAUUGUUUUGUCGCCAGAGAUAAGCUUUAGUGGCACUAAAGUCGUCAUAAAAAUGCUUGAGUCAUCUUGUUCACUGCCACCAAUUUUCUGCUUGUACCGGCUUUUACUGGAAGCACCGUCAAAUCCCCAUUUAGAAAUUAAACUUAACUGCAUGUCUUCUACUUGUUCCUGUAAACUAUUCAAAAUUCGUGUAACUGUUAAAUCCAGCAAAUGCAAUGUUAUCUCACACGAAAAAUCCGUUACAGUAACAGAUUGCGUUGGUGGAUAACAAUCUAAUUUAGCCUUCUGCACUUUAUAAUACGAUGGGUAUAAGUUUGAAGCACCCUCUCUGAUGGCUGUCUCUCGUAAAGUUAUGAAUUGCCAUUUACAUAACUUCAAAGAAAUCAGUAGACCUAAUGCCUUCUCUGCUGUAAGUGACGCGGUAGAACCAGGCUUCUUGAUGAUUGCAGUGAAUUUCUGGACUGCUUCUGGGUUCUUUAACAUAUAUUCUAUCAAUGAUGCAAUUUCACCCCGACCAUCUUCUUUUAAAAGCUUUACAGCUGAAAACACCACUUCGUCUGUUUUCAACGCUUAGAUCGCUGCAUCUGUUUUUUUUUCUGCUUCGUUCCGAGGUCUUCGAAUGGUUUACGUUUCAAUCGCGUCAUGGUUCCAGUUGAUGAUGUGCUUAGUGUAUGAGGAAUGAGAUCACUGCUGGUUGAUGCGUGGGCUAACUGAAGAUCCAACUGAAGAUAAAAGCAACUUGGCCAGUCAAUAUUUGCUUCUAACCAAGAUCCAUACAUUGUUCUAAAUUUUUCUGUGUUCCGUUGGCUUUUCUUCCAUCUGUCAGUAGCAGCUCUUGUAAAUCUUCGGCAAAAUUUUUUCAAGGUGUCACGAUCUUCUUCUGAUAGGUUAAGGUUUGAUUUAGUUAGCACUAUUUCAAACAAAGCUUCGUGAUUUAAACUAGAUCCUUGAGAUUUUAGGAUAACAAACAAGUCCAAGUUCGUAAUAAGACUGUCCAUGGUUUAUGGUCGUGUAAGUUAGCGGUUAAGAAGCUCAAGAUGAACUAAAAUAUAAAAUGUACCCCUUACCUAUUUAUUGCUCGUACUAAUGAACACCACCAUUCUACGAGUAUAUCAUUGCUAUUAUAAUUAGUUUUACGUCUAAUUAUAAGCAUAAUGAUUAAAACCUUAAUGAUUAAACUGCAUUCAUAAUAUCUACUAACGAUUGUAACCGGACCUCAUUAAUGAUCAUUAAUUUUAGACUCAUAAGUUGUCAAUGUGUCAUUUGUUAAAUACUGUUUCAUUAAGUACAAAGAUAAUGUAAUAAAGAGGAUACAAGGGUAAUAAUGUAAAGGAUGUAAUGGUUUUAUUUUCAAUUUUCUACUUGUAACUCUUGUAUGUUUAUUAUUUAUUUGAUUAAAACAAUGAGAAAAAGCUAUUUCAGCAUGAAAAAAUAA
Molecule: long non-coding RNA, 3173 nt
Organism: Cydia fagiglandana
Lineage: Eukaryota; Metazoa; Arthropoda; Insecta; Lepidoptera; Tortricidae
Exons: 2
Source: RefSeq, a predicted model, not a curated record